GAAGGAGGGCGCAAGCGUUAUUCGGAAUUAUUGGGCGUAAAGAGCGUGUAGGCGGCCGGUUAAGUCAGGUGUGAAAGCCCGGGGCUCAACCUCGGAAGUGCACUUGAAACUGGUCGGCUUGAGUUCGGGAGAGGGAAGCGGAAUUCCGGGUGUAGAGGUGAAAUUCGUAGAUAUCCGGAGGAACAUCGGUGGCGAAGGCGGCUUCCUGGACCGAAACUGACGCUGAGACGCGAAAGCGUGGGGAGCAAACAGG
RNAcentral lists this ribosomal RNA (253 nucleotides) under uncultured bacterium. Its description in RNAcentral is "partial 16S ribosomal RNA". It matches the Rfam family "Bacterial small subunit ribosomal RNA", at positions 524 to 776 of the family's 1533-position model. The record is from RNAcentral.